GUAUACAUAUUGUCGCCGAGAAAUACUAUAUAAUUGCUACACCAGUAUUUCAUUUUCAUGUAAACAUGUUAUUUUUGUCUCCGCCAAACUAUGCAAAGCUGCAUUGCACAAAACCUGUUUCCUCUCCAGCAAAAUUUACCAGGGACCCAAAAAAAAACGAACUAAACUAGCCAAAUCCCUGCCUAGUGUGCAUAGUAUACAUUUUCAUCUCUUCUUCCCUGCCUAGUGUGCAUAGUAUACAUUUUCAUCUCUUCUUCCCUGCUUAGUGUGCAUAGUAUACAUUUUCAUCUCUUCUUGCUCUUCAGUCUACUCUUCCCUUCUAAUUUCCUGCCCCUUGCCUUUCCUCCUCUCUACUUGAGUUUCUUCUGCCCCUUUGCUGACCUCUCCUUCCCUUUGUUCCUUGACAGCCGUCGGAGCCUUCAAGCCCAGAGAGCUUCUAGUAUUUGUCUUCGUCCCUCCAUGCUCCAGCUUCUUCAGGAGGUGGUACU
Molecule: long non-coding RNA, 488 nt
Filed under: Triticum aestivum (bread wheat)
Lineage: Eukaryota; Viridiplantae; Streptophyta; Magnoliopsida; Poales; Poaceae
Description: long non-coding RNA (TAES_LNC026826)
Source: RNAcentral